This 257-nucleotide ribosomal RNA is filed under the name Klebsiella pneumoniae. RNAcentral's name for it is "partial 16S ribosomal RNA". It matches the Rfam family "Bacterial small subunit ribosomal RNA", at positions 1 to 252 of the family's 1533-position model. The record is from RNAcentral. Lineage: Bacteria; Pseudomonadati; Pseudomonadota; Gammaproteobacteria; Enterobacterales; Enterobacteriaceae.
ACUUAAAUUGAAGAGUUUGAUCAUGGCUCAGAUUGAACGCUGGCGGCAGGCCUAACACAUGCAAGUCGAGCGGUAGCACAGAGAGCUUGCUCUCGGGUGACGAGCGGCGGACGGGUGAGUAAUGUCUGGGAAACUGCCUGAUGGAGGGGGGUAACUACUGGAAACGGUAGCUAAUACCGCAUAACGUCGCAAGACCAAAGUGGGGGACCUUCGGGCCUCAUGCCAUCAGAUGUGCCCAGAUGGGAUUAGCUAGUAGG